GCCAAUAUGGCUCAGCUGGCAGAGCAACGCAUUCGUAAUGCGUGGGUCGGGGGUUCGAGUCCCCCUAUUGGCU
This 73-nucleotide transfer RNA is filed under the name Eubacterium sp. RNAcentral describes it as "tRNA-Thr". It matches the Rfam family "tRNA". From Rfam's summary of the family: Transfer RNA (tRNA) molecules are approximately 80 nucleotides in length. Their secondary structure includes four short double-helical elements and three loops (D, anti-codon, and T loops). Lineage: Bacteria; Bacillati; Bacillota; Clostridia; Eubacteriales; Eubacteriaceae. The record is from RNAcentral.